CCUACGGGGGCUGCAGUGGGGAAUAUUGGACAAUGGGCGAAAGCCUGAUCCAGCCAUGCCGCGUGUGUGAAGAAGGCCUUCGGGUUGUAAAGCACUUUCAGUGGCGAAGAAAGCCUUGGGGCUAAUACCCUCGAGGAAGGACAUCACCCACAGAAGAAGCACCGGCUAACUCCGUGCCAGCAGCCGCGGUAAUACGGAGGGUGCGAGCGUUAAUCGGAAUUACUGGGCGUAAAGCGCGCGUAGGCGGUCUGAUAAGCCGGUUGUGAAAGCCCCGGGCUCAACCUGGGAACGGCAUCCGGAACUGUCAGGCUAGAGUGCAGGAGAGGAAGGUAGAAUUCCCGGUGUAGCGGUGAAAUGCGUAGAGAUCGGGAGGAAUACCAGUGGCGAAGGCGGCCUUCUGGACUGACACUGACGCUGAGGUGCGAAAGCGUGGGUAGCAAACAGGAUUAGAUACCCGAGUAGUC
This 464-nucleotide ribosomal RNA is filed under the name Vreelandella stevensii. RNAcentral describes it as "partial 16S ribosomal RNA". It matches the Rfam family "Bacterial small subunit ribosomal RNA", at positions 338 to 795 of the family's 1533-position model. Lineage: Bacteria; Pseudomonadati; Pseudomonadota; Gammaproteobacteria; Oceanospirillales; Halomonadaceae. The record is from RNAcentral.